RNAcentral lists this ribosomal RNA (433 nucleotides) under uncultured bacterium. RNAcentral describes it as "partial 16S ribosomal RNA". It matches the Rfam family "Bacterial small subunit ribosomal RNA", at positions 29 to 507 of the family's 1533-position model. The record is from RNAcentral.
AACGAACGCUGGCGGCAUGCCUAACACAUGCCAGUCGAACGAGCCCUUCGGGUCUAGUGGCGCACGGGUGCGUAACGCGUGGGAACCUGCCCUUAGGUUCGGAAUAACUCUCCGAAAGGGGUGCUAAUACCGGAUAAUGUCUUCGGACCAAAGAUUUAUCGCGUUUGGAUGGGCCCGCGUUGGAUUAGCUAGUUGGUAGGGUAAAAGCCUACCAAGGCGACGAUCCAUAGCUGGUCUGAGAGGAUGAUCAGCCACACUGGGACUGAGACACGGCCCAGACUCCUACGGGAGGCAGCAGUGGGGAAUAUUGGACAAUGGGCGAAAGCCUGAUCCAGCAAUGCCGCGUGAGUGAUGAAGGCCGGAGGGUUGUAAAGCUCUUUUACCCGGGAUGAUAAUGACAGUACCGGGAGAAUAAGCUCCGGCUAACUCCGUG